RNAcentral lists this ribosomal RNA (744 nucleotides) under uncultured Hyphomicrobiales bacterium. RNAcentral describes it as "bacterial SSU rRNA". It matches the Rfam family "Bacterial small subunit ribosomal RNA", at positions 8 to 796 of the family's 1533-position model. The record is from RNAcentral. Lineage: Bacteria; Pseudomonadati; Pseudomonadota; Alphaproteobacteria; Hyphomicrobiales.
AGAGUUUGAUCCUGGCUCAGAGCGAACGCUGGCGGCAGGNUUAACACAUGCAAGUCGAACGGGCACCUUCGGGUGUCAGUGGCAGACGGGUGAGUAACACGUGGGAACGUGCCCAUCGGUUCGGAACAACCCAGGGAAACUUGGGCUAAUACCGAAUACGACCUUACGGUGAAAGAUUUAUCGCCGAUGGAUCGGCCCGCGUCUGAUUAGCUAGUUGGUGAGGUAAUGGCUCACCAAGGCGACGAUCAGUAGCUGGUCUGAGAGGAUGAUCAGCCACACUGGGACUGAGACACGGCCCAGACUCCUACGGGAGGCAGCAGUGGGGAAUAUUGGACAAUGGGCGAAAGCCUGAUCCAGCCAUGCCGCGUGAGUGAUGAAGGCCUUAGGGUUGUAAAGCUCUUUCGACGGGGACGAUAAUGACGGUACCCGUAGAAGAAGCCCCGGCUAACUUCGUGCCAGCAGCCGCGGUAAUACGAAGGGGGCUAGCGUUGCUCGGAAUCACUGGGCGUAAAGGGCGCGUAGGCGGCCGAUCAAGUCAGAGGUGAAAGCCCAAGGCUCAACCUUGGAAUUGCCUUUGAUACUGUUCGGCUCGAGACCGGAAGAGGUAAGUGGAACUGCGAGUGUAGAGGUGAAAUUCGUAGAUAUUCGCAAGAACACCAGUGGCGAAGGCGGCUUACUGGUCCGGUUCUGACGCUGAGGCGCGAAAGCGUGGGGAGCAAACAGGAUUAGAUACCCCGGUAGUCC